UGGGGGAUAUUGCACAAUGGGCGAAAGCCUGAUGCAGCGACGCUGCGUGGGGGAUGAAGGCUUUCGGGUUGUAAACCUCUUUCGCUAUCGAACAAGGUCCGCCUAGGGUGGGUUGAGGGUAGGUGGAGAAGAAGCGCUGGCUAACUACGUGCCAGCAGCCGCGGUAAUACGUAGUGCGCGAGCGUUGUCCGGAAUUAUUGGGCGUAAAGGGCUUGUAGGCGGUUCGUUGCGCCUGCUGUGAAAACGCGGGGCUUGACUUCGCGCGUGCAGUGAGUACUGGCAGGGUUGAGGAUGGUAUGGAUCACUGGAAUUCCAGGUGUAGCAGUUGAAUGCGCAGAUAUCUGGAGGAACACCGAUGGCGAAGGCAGGUCACUGGGACAUUACUAACGCUGAGGAGCGAAAGCAUGGGUAGCUAACAGG
Molecule: ribosomal RNA, 420 nt
Filed under: bacterium
Lineage: Bacteria
Description: partial 16S ribosomal RNA
Rfam family: Bacterial small subunit ribosomal RNA
Source: RNAcentral